UGGGGAAUAUUGGACAAUGGGCGCAAGCCUGAUCCAGCCAUGCCGCGUGAACGAUGAAGGCCUUAGGGUUGUAAAGUUCUUUUGUCAGGGAAGAUAAUGACGGUACCUGAAGAAUAAGCACCGGCUAACUUCGUGCCAGCAGCCGCGGUAAUACGAAGGGUGCUAGCGUUGUUCGGAAUCACUGGGCGUAAAGCGCGCGUAGGCGGCUUAACAAGUCAGAGGUGAAAGCCUGGAGCUCAACUCCAGAACUGCCUUUGAAACUGUUAAGCUUGAGUGUCGGAGGGGAUAGCGGAAUUUCUAAUGUAGAGGUGAAAUUCGUAGAUAUUAGAAGGAACACCGAUGGCGAAGGCAAUCCCCUGGACCUGUACUGACGCUCAUGCACGAAAGCGUGGGGAGCAAACAGGAUUAGAUACCCACGUAGUCCCUGAGCGGGCUGGCAAGGCGCAU
Molecule: ribosomal RNA, 447 nt
Filed under: uncultured bacterium
Lineage: Bacteria
Description: bacterial SSU rRNA
Rfam family: Bacterial small subunit ribosomal RNA
Source: RNAcentral